AGAACGAACGCUGGCGGCAGGCUUAACACAUGCAAGUCGAACGCCCCGCAAGGGGAGUGGCAGACGGGUGAGUAACGCGUGGGAAUCUACCCAGUUCUACGGAAUAACACAGGGAAACUUGUGCUAAUACCGUAUACGCCCUACGGGGGAAAGAUUUAUCGGGAUUGGAUGAGCCCGCGUUGGAUUAGCUAGUUGGUGGGGUAAUGGCCUACCAAGGCGACGAUCCAUAGCUGGUCUGAGAGGAUGAUCAGCCACACUGGGACUGAGACACGGCCCAGACUCCUACGGGAGGCAGCAGUGGGGAAUAUUGGACAAUGGGCGCAAGCCUGAUCCAGCCAUGCCGCGUGAGUGAUGAAGGCCUUAGGGUUGUAAAGCUCUUUCGAGUGGGGAAGAUAAUGACGGUACCCACAGAAGAGCCCCGGCUAACUUCGUGCCAGCAGCCGC
RNAcentral lists this ribosomal RNA (444 nucleotides) under uncultured bacterium. RNAcentral describes it as "SSU rRNA". It matches the Rfam family "Bacterial small subunit ribosomal RNA", at positions 26 to 518 of the family's 1533-position model. The record is from RNAcentral.